GCAAUCCUACAAGUUGGAGAUCUUCCACUGAAAAUCAAGAAGAUGAGAAGGGAAGAAGGAAAGUCUACGGAUGUUUUAUUCCAUAUUCAGGCAUAAAUUAAUGACAUACUUUGUCAUAAUAUUUGAGCUCAUAUCCCCCUACUGCCUCAGUGGCAAUUCUUCAUAUACUCCAGAUGAUCACAGAAGAUUAAUCUAUACGGUAGAGGGGAUUUGUUAAAUCAGUCCACGAUUUUCUCUUUUUCCAUGAGAUGCACCAGAGAAAUGCUAGAUUAAUUUGCAGGUGGAGCAAAGGCCUGGAACUUCACUGCUCAUAAGAAAAAGUUGCCAUGGAAUUUCAUUGUUUUCUGGAACGUUCAGUGAAAUUUUCUGUGCUUUGGAUGACAUGUGAGAAGCAAUCAAGAGUGUCACACUCUAAAGAGAAGGGUAAAAAUCUCACCUCAGAGAAAAGACCUUCACUCUAAUCUCGGCGUGGCCACCAGCCAGCGCCUCUCUUCUUUACCUAAUUAAUUUCUUGGAACCCCUUUCAUGGACUAAUUCAUGAUUUCUCUGAACCCUCGAUUGGGUGUUGUUUCCUGCUGCCCUGUGCCUUGAGCCAGAAACACGACACAAGGUGGGAUCCUGGACCAGAAAAAGGACAACUGGGGACAUUCAGAAGGUCUGUGGAUGAGGUCAUCAUGUUGAAUCGAUGAUCGUUCCCUGGUUUCGACCGCGGCCCCUCAGUUGUGUGAGAUGACAACAUUCAGGGAGUGGGGGCAGGUGAAUCCGGGAACUCUCUGGACUUCUGUAAGCAUGAAAUCAUUUCAAAAUGAAAUGUUACAGUGUUGCUAACACCAAGGUCAAGGGUUUAGAUCCCCACACUGGCCAG
Galeopterus variegatus (Sunda flying lemur) is the source of this 865-nucleotide long non-coding RNA. RefSeq lists it as uncharacterized. NCBI's taxonomy places the organism in Eukaryota, Metazoa, Chordata, Mammalia, Dermoptera, Cynocephalidae. The transcript is spliced from 3 exons. The record is from RefSeq and is a predicted model, not a curated record.